AUUGAACACUGGCGGCAUGCUUUACACAUGCAAGUCGAACGGUAACAGGUUAAGCUGGCGAGUGGCGAACGGGUGAGUAAUGCAUCGGAACGUGCCCGAUCGUGGGGGAUAACGCAGCGAAAGCUGCGCUAAUACCGCAUACGAUCUGAGGAUGAAAGCGGGGGACCGUAAGGCCUCGCGCGAUCGGAGCGGCCGAUGUCAGAUUAGGUAGUUGGUGGGGUAAAGGCUCACCAAGCCGACGAUCUGUAGCUGGUCUGAGAGGACGACCAGCCACACUGGGACUGAGACACGGCCCAGACUCCUACGGGAGGCAGCAGUGGGGGAUUUUGGACAAUGGGCGAAAGCCUGAUCCAGCAAUGCCGCGUGCAGGAAGAAGGCCUUCGGGUUGUAAACUGCUUUUGUACGGAGCGAAAAGGCUCUCUCUAAUACAGGGGGCUCAUGACGGUACCGUAAGAAUAAGCACCGGCUAACUACGUGCCAGCAGCCGCCGUAA
RNAcentral lists this ribosomal RNA (493 nucleotides) under uncultured bacterium. RNAcentral's name for it is "partial 16S ribosomal RNA". It matches the Rfam family "Bacterial small subunit ribosomal RNA", at positions 29 to 523 of the family's 1533-position model. The record is from RNAcentral.